UCGUCAGGUGGGAUAAUCCUUACCUGUUCCUCUUCGGAGGACAGAUAAAACAUGAUGAUUGGAGGUGCAUGAAACGUGAUUAACGUCUCUGCGUAAUCGGGACUUACAACACCCUGGUUACUCCUAUCUGAA
This is a small nucleolar RNA of Callithrix jacchus (white-tufted-ear marmoset), 132 nucleotides long. Its record names the gene U8. It matches the Rfam family "U8 small nucleolar RNA". From Rfam's summary of the family: U8 is a member of the C/D class of snoRNA which contain the C (UGAUGA) and D (CUGA) box motifs. U8 is the RNA component of a small complex (the U8 snoRNP) which is required for accumulation of mature large subunit ribosomal RNAs, 5.8S and 28S rRNAs. U8 RNA has been identified in human, mouse, rat and Xenopus. NCBI's taxonomy places the organism in Eukaryota, Metazoa, Chordata, Mammalia, Primates, Cebidae. The record is from Ensembl.